Molecule: ribosomal RNA, 472 nt
Filed under: uncultured soil bacterium
Lineage: Bacteria
Description: bacterial SSU rRNA
Rfam family: Bacterial small subunit ribosomal RNA
Source: RNAcentral
AGGACGAACGCUGGCGGCGUGCUUAACACAUGCAAGUCGAGCGGUAAGGCCUUUCGGGGUACACGAGCGGCGAACGGGUGAGUAACACGUGGGCGAUCUGCCCUGCACUCUGGGAUAAGCCUGGGAAACUGGGUCUAAUACCGGAUAUGACCUGCUCUCGCAUGGGGGUGGGUGGAAAGAUUUAUCGGUGCAGGAUGGGCCCGCGGCCUAUCAGCUUGUUGGUGGGGUAAUGGCCUACCAAGGCGACGACGGGUAGCCGACCUGAGAGGGUGACCGGCCACACUGGGACUGAGACACGGCCCAGACUCCUACGGGAGGCAGCAGUGGGAAUAUUGCACAAUGGGCGAAAGCCUGAUGCAGCGACGCCGCGUGAGGAUGAAGGCCUUCGGGUUGUAAACCUCUUUCAGCAGGACGAAGCGCAAGUGACGUACCUGCAGAAGAAGCACGGACUAACUACGUGCCAGCAGCCGAC